Long non-coding RNA from Nothoprocta perdicaria, 973 nucleotides. RefSeq lists it as uncharacterized. The transcript is spliced from 4 exons. Lineage: Eukaryota; Metazoa; Chordata; Aves; Tinamiformes; Tinamidae. The record is from RefSeq and is a predicted model, not a curated record.
CCCUGAAACACURUUAUUAAGCACUGGGAGGUGAAGAUAUCCAAUAUAAUAGCAGGCAGCACUGAAGUCCUUCRGGAGGUUUCAGUCUGCAGGAGACCUUGCAUGGCUACAAUCACCUGCAGCAAAAGCUUUUACUCACAACAGAUGUAAUCACUGUAACAACAGACUGAGGGCAAAAGAAAUUAAAGCAGUUGGGUGAAUUAGCUCAGCAAGUGACGGUUCACAGGAGAGUCUUUAUCUACUCCUUCCACAGACUGUGUGCAUAAUUGCAGAUUGUUUGCAGCUCUGUCAACCAUUACUGCAGAGUCUGACUUAAAAUGCAGAGGGAGCAAUGUGUCUAUAUAUUAAAGCUGAUCAGGAACCUCCCCUGAUUGCCAGGGCCUGUCCAAGCUGUUGGAGAGCAGCCUGAGAGUGCCAGCUCCUUCAGUACACUCACAUAUGUAUUGUGGUCCCGUGACCUUAUGUAUAUAAGGUGACCUUAAAAUCUGGCUUCUUCUAUUCUGAAUACUGGUUCACACUGAGAGAAAAGAUUGCCAGCACUUGAAAUACUGGAAGAAAAUAACUGAGUCCUCUCAGAAGUUAUGCAGCAUUUCAUAAUGAAUAUAUUUCCAUUCAGCUUGAGCAGUCUUACUUGAAAAUGUGGUUUUGUAUAUGAACUAUUAUUCAUGAAAACUAGAUUUCUUUUCCUGCAUUGUCCGUGUCCCCUGUACUGUAAACAAUUGUUAGCUUCAUGCUGGUUCUUAAACUAUAAAUUUUAAUAUAAUAUCAAAGAUGCUAAGAGGAAAAACUCAGUUUUAGUAGCAGUAUCUGUGAACUGGAAGGACUGGGACAAAAGCAGGCAUUAUUCAACUGUUAACAUUUACAUCUCUUAAUUCUGGAGAGCAAGUACUGUUGAAUUUCUCUAUGCCUUUCUAGUGAGUAGUUUGUAUAGCUGGAGUGUGCAAGCUCUUAAAAAUAAAUGUUUCUUAUUGUC